RNAcentral lists this ribosomal RNA (452 nucleotides) under Parvimonas micra. RNAcentral describes it as "bacterial SSU rRNA". It matches the Rfam family "Bacterial small subunit ribosomal RNA", at positions 28 to 492 of the family's 1533-position model. Lineage: Bacteria; Bacillati; Bacillota; Tissierellia; Tissierellales; Peptoniphilaceae. The record is from RNAcentral.
GACGAACGCGGGGCGUGCUUAACACAUGCAAGUCGAACGUGAUUUUUGUGGAAAUUCUUUCGGGAAGGAAAUGAAAUGAAAGUGGCGAACGGUGAGUAACACGUGAGCAACCUACCUUACACAGGGGGAUAGCCGUGGAAACGACGAUUAAUACCGCAUGAGACCACAGAAUCGCAUGAAUAGGGGUCAAAGAUUAUCGGCGUAAGAAGGGCUCGCGUCUGAUAGCUAGUGGAAGGGUAAAGGCCUACCAAGGCGACGAUCAGUAGCCGGUCUGAGAGGAUGAACGGCCACAUGGAACUGAGACACGGUCCAAACUCCUACGGGAGGCAGCAGUGGGGAAUAUUGCACAAUGGGGGGAACCCUGAUGCAGCGACGCCGCGUGAGCGAAGAAGGUUUUCGAAUCGUAAAGCUCUGUCCUAUGAGAAGAUAAUGACGGAUCAUAGGAGGAAGCC